RNAcentral lists this ribosomal RNA (483 nucleotides) under uncultured Diversispora. RNAcentral describes it as "SSU rRNA". It matches the Rfam family "Eukaryotic small subunit ribosomal RNA", at positions 569 to 1054 of the family's 1831-position model. The record is from RNAcentral. Lineage: Eukaryota; Fungi; Glomeromycota; Glomeromycetes; Diversisporales; Diversisporaceae.
AGCAGCCGCGGUAAUUCCAGCUCCAAUAGCGUAUAUUAAAGUUGUUGCAGUUAAAAAGCUCGUAGUUGAACUUCGGGGUCUACCCAUUGGUCAGGCUUAAUUGUCUGCACUGGUGGGAUGGAUCUCUACCUUCUGAGGAACUUUCAUGCCAUUUAUUUGGUGUGAUUGGAAAUCAGGACUGUUACUUUGAAAAAUUAGAGUGUUUAAAGCAGACUAUCGUCUGAAUACAUUAGCAUGGAAUAAUGAAAUAGGACGGACUGAUUCUAUUUCGUUGGUUUCUAGGAUCACCGUAAUGAUUAAUAGGGAUAGUUGGGGGCAUUAGUAUUCAAUUGUCAGAGGUGAAAUUCUUGGAUUUUAUUGAAGACUAACUACUGCGAAAGCAUUUGCCAAGGAUGUUUUCAUUAAUCAAGAACGAAAGUUAGGGGAUCGAAGACGAUCAGAUACCGUCGUAGUCUUAACCAUAAACUAUGCCGACUAGGGAUC